RNAcentral lists this ribosomal RNA (540 nucleotides) under uncultured bacterium. Its description in RNAcentral is "partial 16S ribosomal RNA". It matches the Rfam family "Bacterial small subunit ribosomal RNA", at positions 899 to 1397 of the family's 1533-position model. The record is from RNAcentral.
ACUCAAAUGAAUAGACGGGGACUUGCACAAGCAGUGGAUUAUGUGGUUUAAUUCGAUGUCAAACGAAGAACCUCACCAGGGUUUGAAACUCAGACGAAGACUUUUGGAAACAUUUGUCGUCCCACAAGGACGUCUGAGCAGGUGAUGCAUGGCCGUCGUCAGUUCGUGGUUUGAAUUGUUCCCUUAAGUGGGGUAACGAACGCAACCCUCGUUGCCUGUUACAAGUGUCAGGCGAGACUGCCCCCGAUUCUGUUCAUAAUUUCUUUGCGCCGCUGGCGCAAAGAAAUUGUUAGUAGAAUCGGGGGAGGAAGGCGAGGAUGACGCCAGGUCAGCAUGUCCCUCUGAUAUCCUGGGCUACACACAUAAUACAAUCGGUGCGACAACGCGUCGCGACGGGGAAACCCUGAGCCAAUCGUUAUAAACGCACCGCCAGUUCGGAUUGAGGUCUGCAACUCGACCUCAUGAAGCCGGAAUUGCUAGUAAUCGCAGGUCAGCUAUACUGCGGUGAAUACGUUCUCAAGUCUUGUACACACCGCCCGU